GCCCGGGUGGCGGAAUUGGUAGACGCGCUCGUUUCAGGUGCGAGUGUUCAAAAGACGUGCAGGUUCGAUUCCUGUCCCGGGCACGA
Molecule: transfer RNA, 86 nt
Filed under: Porphyromonas sp. COT-290 OH860
Lineage: Bacteria; Pseudomonadati; Bacteroidota; Bacteroidia; Bacteroidales; Porphyromonadaceae
Also listed under: 1 other name
Description: tRNA-Leu
Rfam family: tRNA
About the family: Transfer RNA (tRNA) molecules are approximately 80 nucleotides in length. Their secondary structure includes four short double-helical elements and three loops (D, anti-codon, and T loops).
Source: RNAcentral